GCGGUAUGUAUGAACAGACAGUGUAUCUGGUAUACAUGUGGUCGGGUCUCUUAAAGGGACAAUGGAGAUACAAUCCAUGGGACAAUU
RNAcentral lists this non-coding RNA (87 nucleotides) under Anaerocolumna xylanovorans. RNAcentral's name for it is "NiCo sequence". It matches the Rfam family "NiCo (Nickel/Cobalt) riboswitch aptamer". RNAcentral also lists the same sequence under 1 other name. Lineage: Bacteria; Bacillati; Bacillota; Clostridia; Lachnospirales; Lachnospiraceae. The record is from RNAcentral.